AAUACCCUGGCGGCAUGCUUACACCAUGCAUGUCGAACGGCAGCACGGGAGCAUCCUGGUGGCGAGUGGCGAACGGGUGAGUAAUGUAUCGGAACGUGCCCAGUCGUGGGGGAUAACGCAGCGAAAGCUGUGCUAAUACCGCAUACGAUCUAUGGAUGAAAGCGGGGGAUCGCAAGACCUCGCGCGAUUGGAGCGGCCGAUAUCAGAUUAGGUAGUUGGUGGGGUAAAGGCCCACCAAGCCGACGAUCUGUAGCUGGUCUGAGAGGACGACCAGCCACACUGGGACUGAGACACGGCCCAGACUCCUACGGGAGGCAGCAGUGGGGAAUUUUGGACAAUGGGCGCAAGCCUGAUCCAGCAAUGCCGCGUGCAGGAUGAAGGCCUUCGGGUUGUAAACUGCUUUUGUACGGAGCGAAACGGCUUCCACUAAUACUGGGGGCUAAUGACGGUACCGUAAGAAUAAGCACCGGCUAACUACGUGCCAGCAGCCGCGGUAAUACGUAGGGUGCGAGCGUUAAUCGGAAUUACUGGGCGUAAAGCGUGCGCAGGCGGUUAUGUAAGACAGAUGUGAAAAUCCCCGGGCUCAACCUGGGAACUGCAUUUGUGACUGCAUAGCUAGAGUACGGUAGAGGGGGAUGGAAUUCCGCGUGUAGCAGUGA
Molecule: ribosomal RNA, 659 nt
Filed under: uncultured Curvibacter sp.
Lineage: Bacteria; Pseudomonadati; Pseudomonadota; Betaproteobacteria; Burkholderiales; Comamonadaceae
Description: bacterial SSU rRNA
Rfam family: Bacterial small subunit ribosomal RNA
Source: RNAcentral